AUGGCUUUUCCUGGCCAAUCUGAUACCAAGAUGCAGUGGCAGAAGUACCUGCACUUCCACUCCUGUCAAGUCUCUGCAUGGCUAUGGUGAGGAAGAGCUCUGCACUGGGCAAGGAAGUUGGCUGUCGAGUGAAGGAAAUGGUGAUGCUGGUGGCCCCUUUCCUGCAGUCAAGUUCCCUAUCAAGGACAUUCAGUUCUCGGAAAGUGGUGAAGGCACACGCUUCCCUGCAUGGUGCCCGCCUCUCUCCACUCUCUAGAAAUAUUAGAGGCUAGGCUGCUGCUGUAUGUCAGGGCUAGUCCCUCUUCUAUGAAUCCAGAAUAACUCUGAAGAAGCCGAGUAACAGGCAUGAAGUGAAGAGAAAUCGCUGUAACAGGAAGACAGCAAAGCAGAUGCUAAUGACGACACUAUUUAACGAACUGGAACCAACGAGAAAAUACGGUAUUAUUGAAGACUGCACUUCCUUGAACAGAGUGCUCUUCUCAGCAAAUCGGAAAUGCCUACACAAAUCGCUUUACAAGAAGGACUGUUUCAAAGCAGCACCUUUCUCAAUGUUCUCGUUCAGGUGA
Molecule: non-coding RNA, 566 nt
Filed under: Pan troglodytes (chimpanzee)
Lineage: Eukaryota; Metazoa; Chordata; Mammalia; Primates; Hominidae
Source: RNAcentral